UUUGCUUCUGCAUUAUCUGUUUUGUCUGAGUUCCUUUUUUCUGUUUACUUUGAUUUUUUUUUUAUUAUAGAGAUUUUUCUCAAAUAUCUCAUGAUCUAAAAUGAUGAUUGGGAACUCCAUAUGAGUGAGUGAGGGCUAUCAUUUGGUGGGCUUCACUAUAGGAUAAUCUGGUAUGAACCUGACUGUUUCACUGGGCGAAUGCCUCAAUAUCUGUAGGUCAGUAUCUGUAGGUCUUUUUUCCUUGGCCUCGUGAGUUUUCUUAGGGAGGAAUCCUCUAAUCUCCUGCCUGGGUGAAGCUGACUGGGAGAGAGGUUGGGGAAUGGUCACCCUAUUCAGGAUGCAGAUUUUUACUUAGUCCACCUAAUUUUAAUAUGAUGGUCACUCUGGCCUUAACUGCACCUGGUAAAUGAGUUUAGAAUCUCUUAGGUCUGUUGUCUUUAGAUAAUACAAUUUAUUAUCCUUUGUCAGGGGUAAGGAGAGGAAACUGUGGCUGUAAAAAGUCGGGAAGGGGCUCUACAGGUAAAAUGUUCCUUUUAAAGACUUUAUACCCAAUCUCUUCUUUCUAGACCCAUACUGCUUUUAGAAGUACCGUGUGUCUCCUUUUAGAAGUACGAUGUGUGUCCAAUUUCUGAUCCUUUCCAAGGUUCUAUGCCCUGGAUCAUUUGGCAUCUUAAUAUCUUGUGCUAUAAGCUUGUUUUUCGAGCUUUUAUUGCUCUAAUGAGGCUAUUAAGUACUCAGAACCCAUUUUCCUAGCUUCCAAAAUUUUGAAAUUUCUUUUCUCUUGUUCUUUUUCUAAAAAAUCCUAGUGGUUUAUACAUUAAAAUCUCUAAUUGUUGUUUUACCUAUCAUUUUAUUGGAAUUUUGAGAGGAUACCAAAAUAAAUGUAUAUGUUUAAUCUGCAAGUUAAAAUCCAUGACCCAUAUUUAUCUGUAGGCAGACUGACAGAAGCUUAUUGGCCUACUUUUUGUUAAAAAGCCAAAUCUGCUUUUUAAGAAUAGUUGGGUCUUUUACAAAAAGAUCAAGAGAGAGAGAAAAUUAAUUUAGCUAGGCAAAAAUAGAGGGUUUAGUGAGAAUGAUUAUGUGAUAUCUGUGUGAAAAUAAUCUGAGAACAAUUGUAAAAUAUUUCAGUCAAAUUUCAUCCUUUUUUUUUUUUCCUUUUUUUUUGGCUGCAUUGCGCAUGGCAUCUACGUAGGAUCUUAGUUUCCCGACCAGGAGUCAAACCGGCAGCCCCUGCAGUGGAAGUGGGGAGUCUUAACCACUGAACGACCAGGGAAGUCCCAAAUUUAAUCUUUUAUUGAGCUGCUUCUACUCAACUGGCUUCAAAGAGGAAGUCAUUUUUUCCCAUGUAAUCAUGAAAAUACAGUGUAUACAUAAAAGUGGUAUUUGUUUGGAAGGAAAGGCAGUAAAGUGAAAAAAAAAUCUCUUAAUUCUUUUGCUAUAACUUUCUGGGAUUUAGAUGUUGCCUCUUUUCUGAUAAGAAAGAAACAUGAUAUAAUCUAAUAAAAAAGUAAUAGAUCCAGUGAUAUAGUGGAUUAUGUAACCCUAUAACCCUGGCACUAUUACUACUCAGAAAUGCUAGAUUAAAUAUAAGAAGCAAACUUUUAAAUGCAUAACUGAUCUUGGAAGAAAGUAAGAGUAAGGCCAAGUGCAGGAACCUAGGAAAGCAGUGAGAAGUUGCACUGAUGGUGCAGCUCCUCUGGAUUUGGGAAGGUGAUGAUGUUGGCCUCUGCCAUGCAGGCAGGGCUUAGGAUUUAGUGCUCACAGCGGGCUAACCUUUGGGCUCACGUGAGGAAAGCAAUGAAACUACUCAAUUUCCAUCCUUCCUGUUAACUAGGCUCAAAGCUUUGGAGUCUUCCUUGACUCUCUCUCACCUCAUGGCCAAUCUGUCAGCAACUCUAAUUCGCUCCACCUUCAGAAUAUAUCCAGAAUCCAACCACUUCUCAUCACCUAUAUUGCAGUCAAUAUUCAUUUAGUGUUACCUACACCUUUACCACUAUCUAUAGUUCCUUUAGAAUUUCCUUUAGUGAUAAACUUCCAGAUGUGAUAAAGACAGCCAGCUAUCCACUGAAGACUUUGAGUUCCCCUUCCAUAAUGUAGAGUUGUUGCUGGCAAGAGACUGUCCAAUCACAGACCCCAUUUCUCAGGUCCUUCACCCCACCCCUUGCUGUGUCCCCUCUCUACCCCAUGUACCUAUGCAAAGCUAUAAGACUAAUUCCUACCAAUAGAUUGUGAGUAGAAAUGAUGGGUGUCACUUUUGGGCUGAACUGGCUCAAAGCAAAUGUGCUUCUUCCACUCCCUGUUUAACCAGCUGCCACCUGAAAUUGAAAGAUUCUGAGGGGCCAAAGGCAAUGACAGAGUCACAAAAUGGAAAAAACUUGGGUUUCUGGAUUACCCUGUGGAAGUUUGCUCACUGAAAGCCUGCCUUAUACUGUUAUACAACCGAGAAAUUAACCUCUGUCGAGUUAAAACACUGAAAACUUGAGACUAUAUAAACUGAUGUGACAUCUUUUUCCUGCUAUAAAAACGAUGUAGAGGAUUGCUUUGUUUAAUUUGUUUGAAUCAAAAUCCAAAUAAGGACCACACAUUGCAAUUGAUAUACCUUCUAAGUCCUUUUAUUGGUAAGUUUCCCUCUCCUUUUUUUCCCUUGCAAUUUAUUUGUUGACUAACCUGUGUGUUUCUUAAUGUAAGAAACCCUUCUGUUACACAAAUAACCACUUUCUACUUUAAUGGGCUUUAAAAUUUGCAUUGUUUUAUAAUUAUUCUUUUAAUAUUUUAGUUGCAUUUCAAUAAUUUUUGAUAAAGCCAUAGUUUGGUGACAUAGGAUUAUCUCACCAAGUGUCCCAGUAUGCUUUUGCUUUUGGCAGUUUGUCUCAAGGGCAAUGAUCCUAUGACUUAGAGCACUGUUUGGGUAU
This is a long non-coding RNA of Physeter macrocephalus (sperm whale), 2912 nucleotides long. RefSeq lists it as uncharacterized. The transcript is spliced from 3 exons. Lineage: Eukaryota; Metazoa; Chordata; Mammalia; Artiodactyla; Physeteridae. The record is from RefSeq and is a predicted model, not a curated record.